CCUACACGACCGUACCGCAAACCGACACUGGUGCGCGAGAUGAGUAUUCUAAGGCGCUUGAGAGAACUCAGGAGAAGGAACUCGGCAAAUUGACACCGUAACUUCGGAAGAAGGUGUGCCUUUAGUAGGUGAACCAUUUACUUGGGGAGCCCAAUGAGGCUGCAAAAAAUCGGUGGCUGCAACUGUUUAUUAAAAACACAGCACUCUGCUAAGACGAAAGUCGACGUAUAGGGUGUGACGCCUGCCCGGUGCUGGAAGAUUAAAUGAUGGGGUGCAAGCUCUUGAUUGAAGUCCCAGUAAACGGCGGCCGUAACUAUAACGGUCCUAAGGUAGCGAAAUUCCUUGUCGGGUAAGUUCCGACCUGCACGAAUGGCGUAAUGAUGGCCACACUGUCUCCUCCUGAGACUCAGCGAAGUUGAAAUGUUUGUGAUGAUGCAAUCUCCCCGCGGAAAGACGGAAAGACCCCAUGAACCUUUACUGUAGCUUUGUAUUGGACUUUGAACAGAUCUGUGUAGGAUAGGUGGGAGGCUUUGAAGUGUGGUCGCUAGAUCGCAUGGAGCCAACGUUGAAAUACCACCCUGGUGUGUUUGAGGUUCUAACCUAGGUCCAUUAUCUGGAUCGGGGACAGUGCAUGGUAGGCAGUUUGACUGGGGCGGUCUCCUCCCAAAGUGUAACGGAGGAGUUCGAAGGUACGCUAGGUACGGUCGGACAUCGUGCUAAUAGUGCAAUGGCAUAAGCGUGCUUAACUGCGAGACUGACAAGUCGAGCAGAUGCGAAAGCAGGACAUAGUGAUCCGGUGGUUCUGUAUGGAAGGGCCAUCGCUCAACGGAUAAAAGGUACUCUGGGGAUAACAGGCUGAUACCGCCCAAGAGUUCAUAUCGACGGCGGUGUUUGGCACCUCGAUGUCGGCUCAUCUCAUCCUGGGGCUGUAGCCGGUCCCAAGGGUAUGGCUGUUCGCCAUUUAAAGAGGUACGUGAGCUGGGUUUAAAACGUCGUGAGACAGUUUGGUCCCUAUCUUCCGUGGGCGCUGCAGAUUUGAGGAAGCCUGCUCCUAGUACGAGAGGACCGGAGUGGACGAACCUCUGGUGUAUCGGUUGCCACGCCAGUGGCAUUGCCGAGUAGCUAAGUUCGGAAGAGAUAACCGCUGAAAGCAUCUAAGCGGGAAACUCGUUUCAAGAUUAGAUCUGCCGGGGCCUUGAGCCCCCUAAAGAGUCGUUCAAGACCAGGACGUUGAUAGGUCAGGUGUGGAAGC
RNAcentral lists this ribosomal RNA (1252 nucleotides) under metagenome. RNAcentral's name for it is "bacterial LSU rRNA". It matches the Rfam family "Bacterial large subunit ribosomal RNA", at positions 1633 to 2874 of the family's 2925-position model. The record is from RNAcentral.